UGGCGAACGGGUGAGUAACGCGUGAGGAACCUGCCUCAAAGAGGGGGACAACAGUUGGAAACGACUGCUAAUACCGCAUAAGCCCACGGCCCGGCAUCGGGCUGCGGGAAAAGGAUUUAUUCGCUUCAGGAUGGACUCGCGUCCAAUUAGCUAGUUGGUGAGGUAACGGCCCACCAAGGCGACGAUCCAUAGCCGACCUGAGAGGGUGACCGGCCACAUUGGGACUGAGACACGGCCCAA
RNAcentral lists this ribosomal RNA (240 nucleotides) under uncultured bacterium. RNAcentral's name for it is "partial 16S ribosomal RNA". It matches the Rfam family "Bacterial small subunit ribosomal RNA", at positions 96 to 334 of the family's 1533-position model. The record is from RNAcentral.